Non-coding RNA from Aegilops tauschii subsp. strangulata, 629 nucleotides. NCBI's taxonomy places the organism in Eukaryota, Viridiplantae, Streptophyta, Magnoliopsida, Poales, Poaceae. The record is from RefSeq and is a predicted model, not a curated record.
UCAGCCGUCCGCGCGAAGUGCCGCCGCCCGAACCUCCCACCACAGCACGCCGCAAUGGAGGCCGACCGCCCAUGGCAUCGCCCGAGCUCACCUCCCAGCAGUCAUUCUCCUUUGAAUUCGUCGGGAUCCGGCUGGAUCCGGACGCCAACGCCCCGUUCCUACCUCCCCGCUUCGCUUGGGUCGUCGGCCAGCUCGACGAUGUCAGACUGUUCGCGGGAUCCAGCACCACCGCUGGCUGGCCACUUCCUCCUGGAGGAGACGCCCCCACAUCGGCGCCUCCCCAUAUGAGCAGCAGCAGCGAACGCCUCGCUAAGGGCAUCUUUGGUGGUGUUUUUUAUAAAUUGUUUUAAAGAAGUUUGCCAGAUCUGUGACUGAAAAACAAUGGCGUUGAACUCCGAUUGACGUCCCGCGAAGGCUGGCGGCGCUUGAUGUGGUGGCUGGAGAAUAUCUCUGGGCAAAACAGUAGGCCAGAUCUAGGGGAAAAAAUCUGUAAUUCCAAGUUUUUGGUUGUGUAUUUCUUCCUUUUGGUAAAAAUAAAAUUUAGUUAUCUAGUAUGUUUAUGCAAUUUUCCUUUUUAUCUACUGUAUAAGGUAAUGAGCAUAUAUAAUAAAAAAACUUACUGACUCAAA